Mercurialis annua (annual mercury) is the source of this 2024-nucleotide long non-coding RNA. RefSeq lists it as uncharacterized. Lineage: Eukaryota; Viridiplantae; Streptophyta; Magnoliopsida; Malpighiales; Euphorbiaceae. The record is from RefSeq and is a predicted model, not a curated record. The transcript is spliced from 3 exons.
GAAGAAAAUGAAUGCAGGCGUUAGAAAAAUUAAUAAAUUAGAAACAAAAAGGUCAUCUGAUUAUCGAUUAAAGCAAAUGGCAGGGAUAAAUUGAAUUGAAGGGAUUUGAAGAGGUGAUGCUCCCUCAUGCCUUAGUUGACUCAAGUGACCCUAGUGUUUCUUUAUCGGUGUACUGCCGGUCAUUAGCUCUAAUACACUGUGAAGAACCGAUAUUUUAUGACGAGUCUUACAUGAGUUAUACAAAAUGUUCUAUUUGGGUGAUGAGAGAGUAUGGUGCAGCAGAAUCUUGGACAAAACAAUUUUCUGUAGAUUUACCAAAUCCUGGAGCUUUACUGAGGGUGCUAAGCUUUCAACGGCAUGGUGGAAUUCUUAUUGAGGAUAGCAAUAGUGAGAUAGCUUCUUAUGACCCCCGGACACAAAAGGUCACCCCUCUUUGCUUCCAUGGAUACAUCUUCGAAGUGCAUUCUUACAUGGAGAGCCUUGUUUUACUCAAGAACAGACUCAAUUAGAAGAGUAAGACUGGACCUUAGUAAUCUUAGGUUUAACUUUAUGUAUUUCUGUCUUUUGGUAUCUAUGCAUUUUUAAUCUGUUUAAGUAGGUUUAACUUAAUGUAUUUCUGUCUUUUGUUUUUACUGAUCAUGAAAUUAUAAAUAGCUAAAUUAACCUUCUUUUUGUUGAAGUUUAUGAUACCUAUGUAACUGAAAAUUUGAUAUUGUUGGUCAUGUUAAUAUGUAAUGGUUUGAUAUGUGUGUCUGGAUGAAAAUUAUGGUCUGUCUAUUUAUUUGAGGGUGUGUGUGUGAAAUGACUGCAAAGUGAUUAGUGUCUAGCUCUUAUGAUUUUAAAAAUGAUUUCUCCUAGUUGAUUGUUUUAGAUCAUAUCCAUGUAGGACUAUUGGCUUCAAAUUGAUUGUUUAUGGCUUUGGCUCUCAUUCUUGGUUGAACGAUGUUGUCUUUUGGCUUGUAUAUAGAACACAAUGAGCAAUUUAAAGAAAUAAUGGUUCCUAUGCAUUAGUCCUCUCUCAAAUUUUCCAUUUAUUUAAUGUGUGGCCAAUCACUUGAUACAUAUAUUAUAGAAAUUUGAUAAGCAAUUUUAUCUUGGUUAUAUGGUGGAUUUUUUCUUUUGAAAAUUGAACAUGUUCGGUGGAGAACAAUCUUGGAACAUUUUAAUUAGUCCUCAUGGGCGGUUCUUGGAGAAUCAAUUAAGGGAGGAUCAGCUUUGGUAAAUAUACGCACGCUCUGUUUCUCAUCAGUGAAAUACAAUCUUGUAACUUCUACGAGACAAGCGAAAAACACAUUACACAUUAGCACCAGCCUGCAUGGCCAGUUCUCUGCAUCCUUCUUUAUCCCUACAUGAUAAUUAGGAAAUCAAGAUUGCGUCGGAAACAGAAACUAAUGUCAAUCAUAACAGAAAAAGAUGGCUGUAACAAUGUGUUCCUGACAUGGAACGAUUUAUGGAAGCAGUGAGGAACUCUCUGUAUGCCCAAUUCAGGUCAGGGGUUCACUGCUUAUGUUCAUAUCUACUAUCCUCGCUUUUAUGGCUGUUGGUGGGUUCCUGUCUUUUGUUGAGGAAAUGAUAGUAUUUUCUUCCUCAAAAUUUGUUUCUAUCAAUAAUCAACAAAUUCAUUUCAUAUGAAGGGGUUUCAGGAUGUUGGAGAUGAAGAGAAGCUAGGAUAGUUUCCUGAAUCGGUGUCUUGUUCAUACUAGAAGAUCAACUAGUAAUGCAUUCUCUUUGGCAUUUGAAUUUGAUUUGAAUGCUAACCUCAACAUAUUUUGAGCAAGCAUGCGUUCUUGAGUGAUAAUGUCAAAGCGGAUUGCAACUGAUGAAAUAGACGCGAUCUGAAUAAGCAGGCUGUUAUCAGCUGAAAGGUGGCGGGGUUGGUCACAGUGGAGGAGUUGAUUUUAGAUUUGAGUUCAGAUAUGUUUUUAGUGAAGAGAAAGUUUAGAGUUUUAUGUGAACAUUAAAAUUUUAUUUAUUUAGCCACAUCAAAUAAUAAAAAUUUAAUUUCUAAUGCUAUGUCAGUUUCG